Ceratitis capitata (Mediterranean fruit fly) is the source of this 3685-nucleotide long non-coding RNA. RefSeq lists it as uncharacterized. The transcript is spliced from 2 exons. Lineage: Eukaryota; Metazoa; Arthropoda; Insecta; Diptera; Tephritidae. The record is from RefSeq and is a predicted model, not a curated record.
AACGUAGUAUUGUGAAGUGGAGACUAUGUCGAUCUGGCAAAUGUUUAUAUGAAUGGCCAUCUUAGUGAUGGCAUGGAAUGGCCAUUUUCUUUCUUUAUUCACGUGUGUUCGAAGAAACCACUAAGUCUGUAACAUUGAAUUUAUGGUGGAUAACAAUCAUUUGGGUUUCUUCGUCAUCGACGCUGAUAAGAACUUUUUAGUUUACAUAUAUCAACCAGAAUCACGGGAAUCCAUUGGUGGUCAAAAAUUAAUACGCAAUCGGAUUACCACCUCGGUCAAGGGGUGAUCACCAUGUUUCAUGUGCAAUGCCAUCAACGUGGUCAACAUCAACGGCAACCAUUCAUCUAUGAAGAUAAACAACUCGUCUUCUUUGGUACCUUGGAUAGUGCGCUUGGUUACUGCCUAGCAUUACCUGAGAAGGUAUAUCGAAAAUUUUUGAUGUUACAAAAUGUUUUGCUCUCCUAUCAAGAGCACCUGGGCGGCCGGCGGGCGAAAAAUUAUCGCUCAAUCCGGGUAGGUGCAUAAUUGAUAGUGAUCUAAUUUGGUCAUACAUAAUGAUGUCGACAGCAGAGAAGGUUGAGGUUAUAUAAAAAAAACUUUGAAUUAACACAGUUGUUAAAAGUCGAUGAAUAUAAGAAGUAGUAAUGACCUAGAAGUUACUGAUAUUUCACGGGAAGUACGUUGCUUAUAAACUAUUAAUCAAAUACGAUGAAAUCCUUUUGAAAAAAAGGUUGAAGCCCAGAUAUCGAGUUCAAAUUUAUGUUUUGAAGCCGAUACCUUAUUUAUUGCUUUGAUGAAAUCAGUAUAAGUCAGCCUGGUGCCCAUUUUAGUAGGUGAUGUCAUUAUACCUCUCUAAAAUUAUAUAUGUAAAUCCUUGUGCUUAAUGUCAAAAAUUUGGUCACAUGCUUCUCUUGAGGCCAAUUCUUUACCAUUCAAAUCAUUCGUAAUAAACAAGAACAGAUGGUUAUGACUUGGAUCCGAAUUAAUUUUUCGAAUGCACGUGUAUUUGAGUAUAUUUUCCGAAAGCUGAAGUUGUCUCGUGGCGUUCGAAAAUAGGCGGAAAGGUUUCAAUUAGUGUAAAUGGUUCGCAAAAGUUUAAAUAUGUUAUUCUUGAAAACGAAUUUUUACACCACUUUCUAAGUCAUGUCUGUUAGGAUAUGAUUGAAGGAAUAAAAUUUUUGACAAUAAUUUUCUGAAGUGUAAAAUUUCUCACAAAAAAUAUUUUCUUUUUUUGAAGCGGCCAGUUGGUAAAAAAUCAAAUUUUUCACAAUUCUUGUGUUUAUUAUCUUUUUUUAGUUUUCGGACUUCAAAUAAUAAAUGCAGAAUUAUCUUCCUCACCGCCAGACACAUUUUUUUUUGAAACCCUUCUGGAGAUCGGCUACAGGUUCAGGAAGAUCCAAUAUCUUUUUAAAUGAAUUUUUUAUUGCUAAACUAAAUUAAAUUCUGUCCACUCAGAUUCUUUCUAUUAAUUUAGGGAAUGAAGUCCCUAUAUAAAAAUUAAAAAAAAAAUUAUUAUGUAUUGCAAAUGGAUAUAACUCCUCCAAAGUAGAUGCUUGAAAAUCUGCCAACCCAGCUCCCAGUGAGUGCCUUUGUGGCAUGUCUAAAUGGCACUAACAUAAUAAUAAACGUUGCUUGUGUCGAAUAAGAUGUUGUCUUACGCUCUUCUAUUUCCGUGGACUAUUAUUUAAAACAAUAAUAAGCUCAAUUAUAUCGUUGAUUGGAAAGAUAUAUUUCAUCGAAGUAACAAAGAAAUUUGGCAAUGUAGAUUUUCAUAAAAAUUAGCUCAAAAUGACUUAGCAGUACGAUUCAUUAAAGCAAAUCUUUAUUCCUUUCGGCCGCAAUAGUCUAGUAGUUAGUAUUACAUAUUGUCAUUUUGAAGAGGGUUCGAGUCCAUCUAAUAUUAUAGAAAAUUAAGUUUGCUAAUUAUGGUCGGCCCUCGGCAGGAAAUGUCAGCCCCACCGUGUGUAUUUAUGAUAUGAAAUAAAUGCUUCUUAUAAAAACACCAGCCGUUCGGCGGCGACUUAUUAUACACUGUAAGUUUCAAUCAUAAGUUCAAGUGCUUAAUUUCUGGCAAACACUUUAAACUUGCUCUGGUUUCCUCCCAUUUUUCUUUCCCAUUUUUUUAUUUUUCAUUUUUUUACCACUUAAUUUCUCACACCUUACCGGUAGUUUUGCGCCUGACAUGGAUUUAUUACUCAAAACAUUCAUUCUGCAAAUAGCUCCGUGAAGUUCUCAAGCAAAGACUGCAUAAAAUUGGUGGGUCUGGAAAAAUCUUGACAGUAAAGUUGCUGGUCGUAAUCCAGAAUGGUCCUAGUUAGCAAUGAAGAGUUUAUUCUCCAGUAUUUUUCUAUAUUUGCGACUGCUACUUUUAACACAUUUUUUGAAAAGACAAUUCUCCAAUUGUCAGCUGGAAGCUAGUAUAAUACUAACUAAUUUAUGACAUUACUAUUUGGCAGAGAUAAUAAUAUUUCCUAAAACGUGUUCGAACCUUGAAUUUAAUUUCAGCAUCGUUCUAAACGGCGCAUUGCAAUAGAGGAAAUAAAACAUAUCCGGAAUAUACCUAAGUGUGGUUAAUUUUGUAAUUAUUCCAAUUGCAUGAAUGCUGCUACUCAUUGCCAAGACUUGAAGAAUUAGCGAAAUUUAGUUUUUACAUUCUAGUAUAGAACUAGAUCAGAACUAGAACUCUCCCACACUAGUUUAGAUUUCCACUGCUGGUGAGUACUGUCCACGUGCACUCACACAUAAAUACAUUCGUCAGUUUAUGAUUAUAAUUGCGUGAUUUAAUUCUUUGGGAUUUAGAGCAUUGGCCGACUGUCGACAUGUCGUACGUUUACGCAUAACUUAUUGUGCCAACUUUUGUUGUUUUUCUGCUCCACUCAAAUCUUUUAGUAUUGUAAUAUGGAUUAACUUAUUAUCGGCACUAAUGUAGUAUGUAUAGUAGUGUGUAAUGUGAGGGUUUGGAUGGGGUUUGGGUUGUUGUAUAGUAUUAUGGUAAGUUUGUGGCAAGAUUUUAUCCAUCGAUAGAUUAGUAACUUAUUGUGAGACUAUUUUGGGAGUACGGAUUAGCUUCGUGCACAUUGUUAUUUGUUUUGAUUUAGUUCUUGGCUUUUAUGAUUCGAUAAUCGACUUAUUAAGAUUUUGUAAUUUUAUAAGGAGUAUUGAGUUUCUUCGAUUCUCUUGUAUUACUGAAGUUGGUAUUAACUGAGAUUAAACCUUUCCUUGAAGAAAUGGUGAGUUGAAUCGGGCCGCCACUACAGCCAUAUACUUAUUGGUUAUAGGCUAACAAAUUGUAUGAUCGGACCUCUCGAAGAUUUUCUGCCAAAUAUAUUUGAAAUUUAUGUACGCUACGAAUUUUAUUUAAGUCUCAUCACGGGAUAUUUAACGGCAGAACUCAUGAAGAAAUUGAGCUAGAACACUAUGUAGACUGAGAACGAAAGUGGACGCUUUCGAAUUAUUGAAUUAUUAUUUUCGUCCUACCGUAAGACUACUUUUGUUCGUAGUUGCUCAUUUUUGAAACAUGUCUUAAUUAAGUGCUUCGAUGUGUAAAAAAAAAUUAGCUUCGACAGGAGAAAAUUUGAGCAAAAUUUUUUAGGCUACAUAAUAUUUGAAAUUAAUUUGAUGAGUACAUAAUAUGUAGUAUACUGAAAAAAUACUUAAGUGAAUAAACGUGUCGAUAACAAGUUAA